Molecule: ribosomal RNA, 615 nt
Filed under: uncultured delta proteobacterium
Lineage: Bacteria; Deltaproteobacteria
Description: bacterial SSU rRNA
Rfam family: Bacterial small subunit ribosomal RNA
Source: RNAcentral
AACGAACGCUGGCGGCGUGCCUAACACAUGCAAGUCGAACGAGAAAGGGGCUUCGGCUCUGAGUAAAGUGGCGCACGGGUGAGUAACACGUGGGCAACCUGCCUCCAAGACCGGGAUAACCUGUCGAAAGACGAGCUAAUACCAGAUAAGACCACAGUUCCUGCGGGAAUCGGGGUCAAAGGUAGCCUCUGCAUGCAAGCUAUCACUUGGAGAUGGGCCUGCGCACCAUUAGCUAGUUGGUAGGGUAACGGCCUACCAAGGCGAAGAUGGUUAGCUGGUCUGAGAGGAUGAUCAGCCACACUGGAACUGAGACACGGUCCAAACUCCUACGGGAGGCAGCAGUGGGGAAUAUUGCGCAAUGGGCGAAAGCCUGACGCAGCAACGCCGCGUGAGUGAUGAAGGCCUUCGGGUCGUAAAGCUCUGUCGGAGGGAACGAAUGCUCCCGAGGUUAAUAGCCUCGGGGGGUGACGGUACCCUCAAAGGAAGCACCGGCUAACUCUGUGCCAGCAGCCGCGGUAAUACAGAGGGUGCAAGCGUUGUUCGGAAUUAUUGGGCGUAAAGGGCGUGUAGGCGGUUUGUUAAGUCAUGUGUGAAAUCCCCCGGCUCAACCGGGAA